RNAcentral lists this long non-coding RNA (8902 nucleotides) under Medicago truncatula (barrel medic). Its description in RNAcentral is "long non-coding RNA (MTRU_LNC001617)". Lineage: Eukaryota; Viridiplantae; Streptophyta; Magnoliopsida; Fabales; Fabaceae. The record is from RNAcentral.
UGACUAUCAAUUUGACUUUUGAGUACAAACUUAUUGAAUUUUAAUCAUAACUUAAGUGAAACAAGUUCUAAUCAAAAAUUAAGGAUAAACUUCGAUGAUAGAUUUGAAGCCGCAUAUAGGUGUAAUCUUAUAGCUGCUGAAGCCUGCGUCGAAUAUGAGUUUCUCCCAUUCUUUCUUCUCUCUUUCUUUUCCAUUUAACAAAGUCAUCAUCAUGAAAUCAAAGUCCAAUUUCAACUCAUUUGUUUCAUGAUUGUCACUUGUUUCAUCAAUUGUUUCAUGAAAUCAAAUCAAUCACACACACACACACACACACACACACAGAGAGAGAGAGAGAGAGAGAGAGAGAGAGAGAGNNNNNNNNNNNNNNNNNNNNNNNNNNNNNNNNNNNNNNNNNNNNNNNNNNNNNNNNNNNNNNNNNNNNNNNNNNNNNNNNNNNNNNNNNNNNNNNNNNNNNNNNNNNNNNNNNNNNNNNNNNNNNNNNNNNNNNNNNNNNNNNNNNNNNNNNNNNNNNNNNNNNNNNNNNNNNNNNNNNNNNNNNNNNNNNNNNNNNNNNNNNNNNNNNNNNNNNNNNNNNNNNNNNNNNNNNNNNNNNNNNNNNAGACUUCCUUUGCCUCUUACAUGAGGACUUCUACAAUAAGAGUUUAACAAAUAAAUACGACUGUCUUUAAACUUGAUAUACAAUCAGAGGUAUAAAAAACCUAAAGUGCAAGUGACUUCUGAACACUUAAAAAAUUCUAAGGUUCAAAGUUUGUAAGAAUUUUUCUAAGUAUUUGUGCGCUAUUUAAUUUAAUAGAGUAAUGAUACUUGUAAAAAGAUAGAAGUCUUGUUGUAUUUCUUCAACUGCUCAGGUUCUUAUAUAGGAGAGAAUGAGAGAGACGUUGAUGAAGAGGUGCCAACGCAUCAAUUAAGUGCUUGAGAAGUUUGAUCAGAGACGUAGAAAUAGUCAAUCGAAAAUCAUUAGCUUAUAAUAGAAUGAUCUGUUACAUUAUCUUUAUCCUUGAAAUUUCUUGUUUGUUUCUGCACGAGAUGAGAAUGCGACAAAAUGAACUAUUCAGAGUCUGAUAGAGAUAUUCUUUCAAAAAACAACAAAUUAGGUCAACGUCUUUAGAUGUUGAUGUCAUCUUUAGAUGCUCCAUUCUUCAUAAUCCUUCAGAGUCUGAUUAUAUCAAAAGCUUCAUAACAAAAUUCCUAUUCUGCUUCAUAACAAAAUGCUUCUUCUGAUCAAAGUGUUGAGUUUAUAGUUAAAUUUCUUCAGAUUUUGCUUGAAGUCAUAAUAGCUUCUCUUUUGAUUAGGAUGCUUUCUUAUGCGCUAAAUGUCUUGAUAUUUCAGAGCCAAAACUUGACUUUGAGAGUCAUAAUUUAAUUCUUUGGUCAUACACACUCGAACACACAUUAACAUAUUCAAUUGUUCUUUAUAGUUUGUUAUCAUCAAAACUUCAGAGGUAUUGUUAAGAAUCCAUUUUGGUUUAACACCAGUCAAUUGCUUAUGGUUACAUAGGAGUUAACUUCCAUAACAAGAAAAAGUAUUUUGUGGCGUUCUGAGAGACUUUUGUGAUGGUUUGAACCACAAAAAAUUUGAGGGUCCUGCGAUCGUUAAAAAUUUUAUGUGCCAUGAGUCCUUUUUGUUAUGGUUAUUGUACUUGUAGAGCAUACAAUAUUAGAUGCCUUGUCUGCAAUAAUACUACGCAGAAGCUCGAGCUUUAGGUUAUUUAAGUAAUGAGUUGGGAAUAAUUUUAGGGUCUCUAUUUAUAAUGUUUCUUGUCCCCUGUUAGUGGUAAAAACCUAAGUAGUUCUUUUAAGAUUUUUAAGGAGUAAGUUCUUAUAAAGAAGUACUGAGGGCUACCACCAAAACCAAUCAAAUUACUAACAACCAAAACCAAAGCCAACACCAAAAUCAAAGCAAAACCCCCCACACAUUGAUCAAAAUCCUCAAACUACAUCAUGAAUGACCUUAGAAACAAGUUCCAAUCACUUAUCAACCGCUACUCGCACCAAAACCCCUCCAAAAAACCAUCAAAUAAACCAAACUACUAUAUAACAUCACCUUACCUUAUAUUCGCACAACUGAGCGCAAAUAAACACUCGAAAAUCAAUUAUCCAUGCACUUAUUCAUAUUUGAUCAUCAAGCAACACCCGAUCCAUUGGAUCAAAUACCAUAACAGGACCAAAAACUUGAGUCUAGAAACUGGCCCUCGAUCUCAAGCAAAGACGAUCCGCCCACCACAAUUAAAAAGCAAAUCAAUAAGGCACUGCUCAACUCCUAGUCCACCGCAAAAAGCACCAUAACUAAAACUAAUGCUAGACAUUAACUGAAAUCAUUUAUAUUAGAAUAUUGUCAUUGCAUUUAGGUUGUUUUGUAUUGUUGAAUUUUGAAUUAAUAUGAACAUAUUAUAUGGGUUUGCUUUCUAUUACUGCAUAUAUGUUGUUUUUACAUCAUAACCCUCUACUGCUGUUGUGGACUAUGGUAAAUGCCCCAAGUUUAGUAGUUUGGGUUACACGAUGAUCACAACAAUACUAAAGCCGAAGCAGAGCGAUGUUUGGGUUGGUGAUCAAAAUCAACGAAGCUUGAAGCCAUCUGAUGGAUCUCCGGUACUCAUUAAUCCUUGGUUUAGAUUUUCAAGCUCAACUUAGUGUUUUAUUUGUUUUAGAGUUGUUGUUUUUCCUCUAUUAUUUUGUGAUUCUGAUAUUAAAACAAAUGUAGACAAGAAGCAUAUACGAAAAGAAGUACAAAUUGAGUCUCUGAAGAUUGGUAAAAGGAGGAAUUUUGGAACCAAAUUUAACAUCUUCAAAGAAAUUGACUGGCUAAGAUCAUACAUGGUAAGAAAGUUGCAUAUGAAUACCAAACAACAUAGCACCUUAAUUAACAUUAUUCAGUUGUGACUAUCAAUUUGACUUUUGAGUACAAACUUAUUGAAUUUUAAUCAUAACUUAAGUGAAACAAGUUCUAAUCAAAAUUAAGGAUAAACUUCGAUGAUAGACUUGAAGCCGCAUAUAGGAGUAAUCUUAUAGCUGCUGAAGCCUGCGUCGAGUAUAAGUUUCUCCCAUUCUUUCUUCUCUCUUUCUUUUCCAUUUAACAAAGUCAUCAUCAUGAAAUCAAAGUCCAAUUUCAACUCAUUUGUUUCAUGAUUGUCACUUGUUUCAUCAAUUGAUAUGUCAAUGAUUAUCACCUUUCCUUUUUUCCCUUUUCCUGAAAUAGCUUUUUUGCAAUUCUCUAAUAUCUUUAAGGACAAUUCGUCAUUCCAAUCAUGCAAAAUCCACUGUAAAAAAAAAAGAUUUUAUCUAUAUAGUUAAUAAAUCAAUAUGAAAUAUCAAGCUUUGCUAAAAUCUGUUGUUUAAGAGUAUAUUAGUUCUUCUUUAUUGCCAAGAUUAAUCAGUCAUCAACAAAAUUUGUAAAAUACUUUGCAUCAAUAACAUAAGAAAAUUACUCAUCUCACUUAUGAAAUUCCUCAUUCCCUUAUAUUAGCGGCAGUCCUGCUGCUGACACUUUUAAGAUCGGUUCAUUCGCUUUUUAAGUCGUUCGACCGAUGUUAAAAGUGUCAGCGGUAGUUAACUACCAAUGCUGCAGAUAUAAGAGAAUGGACAGUAAUUUUCAUAACAUAAUUUGGUGAACGUACCUUGAGUAAAACAGCAUCUGCAGAAGGGAUAGAUUCGAACAUAUCUCCACCAACAAAUUUCAAAUUUUCAUCUCCAGAUAAAUUGGCCACAACCUGUGGUUGAUCAAAUACUGUGCAUUUGAGGUCAGGAAAAGCUUCAUGGAUGAGUUUUGUGAAACCUCCUCUUCCACCUCCAACAUCAACUAUAGACUCCAAACCUUCAAACACAUGAUUGCACUCUUUUAGAGCAAGGUUGAAGAUUUGAGAAUCAGCAGCCAUAGCCUCUUGAAACAUACUCAGUUCAUCAGAUUCAGUAUCUUUGUUAAGAUAGUCCCAAAAUGUCUCUCCUCUUGCGCUCUCAAAUAGGCUGAGUUCCUUGUCCUCAGUGAGCCAUUUCUUAGAGGAGUGCCACACGUUCAGACGACAUGGAUGAAGCACUCCGCUAACAAAUGGUGACAAACAUGUUGAUUUGCCACUUAUGAGAAGCAUUGAAGGAGGAGUGAGAGAAUAUGUUGUUUCUUCUUCUCCUUCUUUGCCAUUCAUCAGUGUUGUUUUUGCAAAGAAACCAUUGUGUGUUAGCAGGCGCAAGAGACGAUACAGGACACUAACUUUCGAAGGAUGGAGUUUCAAAGAUGAAGCUAAUUCAGUAAGAGUCAUUGGUUUUCCAUGGUUGUGGAUUGCAUCAGCUAUGCCUAGUUCCACAGCAGAUUUGAGUGCCAUGGAAUUUAUAAAGCUGUAUAUAUGUUUGUACAGAUGGAUUUGAGCAUGAUAUAGCUGACUUUCUUCACUGCCAUUGCUACUGGAAUCCAUUUUCUUGGGUGAUGUCUUGUGUUUCUAAGGGUGUGUAUAUGAAGUGAAGUGUAAACUUGCUUGCAACUCUUCUAUGUUUUGAACAAUGAACACAAUACAAAGGUAUAUAUAGCCUUAUAUUAUGCCCAUGAUCUUUAUUUCUUUCAUAUAAUAUACUUUUGAUGCACGUGUUUUACUAACUUGGGCAUAAAUUGUUUGAUUUUGGCUUUUUCUUACCAUGUGUGUUAUUGUUGGAACACACAUUUUGACACAAAAGUUGAUGAUAUACUUACCAUAUUUAUUUAUAUAUUCGGCAAGCAUUGAACUUUUAAUUAUAUGAUUGUUUAGUGUUUUCCAAUUUCACUACUGCAAUGCAGUUGUUAUCAACAUUUACAACAUAAGUUAACUACAUCAUUAAUCAAAAUAUUGAAAGGUGUUAACCACUUAUUUCAUAUAGUUUAAAAAAGGCAUUAAUAUGUGUUUCGUCCCUGCAAUUAGAGGUCAUUUAAAAAUUGGUUCAUGGAAUCGUUAAUCCUGGCAAAUUACCCUUGCAAAGUUUAAUCUUUUAAAAUUUCGUCCCUUGACUCACUUGACUCACUUAAUGACUGUCAAGUCAUCAAAUUAGCAAAAUGACACAAAAAUACCCUCAUCAUCCUUCUUCUUCCUUUGAAUAAUGCAUACGUGCAGUGUUCAAACCCUCGUCCUCUUCUCCUUCUCAUUCUUCAAACCCCAACCAUCACUCACUACACAGCCUCUUCUCCUUUUCCUUUUAUUUUUAUUUGCAGUUUCUAAUCAUAGAGCAAUUGAAACGGCGGCGUUGCGGUUGAUUCCAAAAAUGGUUCCAGAUCCGAAUCUACACCAAAAACGGCGUUUUUGUUGCGAUUCAGAAUGAAUUGAACAUUCAGAAUGUUCAAUUCGUGUUCAUAAUGAAUUGUUCAAAAUGAUUUCUUGUUGAUUGUUUGUUUCUUUGUGUUCAUUGGAUGAUGAAGCAAGUCUUGGAAUCAAAUGUUGGUGGAUUUGGAAUUCUGGGUUGUAUGAGAUAUGAGUCUCUUGAUUUUUGGCUUUCUGCUUGCUGCUCGCUCGUCUUUCUAAACAUGAUGCUAAUUUUCGUCGCCGUCUUGUUGAUUCAGGUGCCGUCUCCGCCGUGCUUUUCUGUCUUGUUCAAUUUCUGGGUUGUAUGAGAUAUGAAUGUUGUUCAAAGUUCAUGUAAACAAUUAAGUUUUCUUUGAGCAAAACAAUUAAGUUUUCUAAAUAGCAAUGUUAACAGAAAACAAUUAAGUUUUCUAAAUAGUCAUUAACCAUAUUGUAACGCCCCGAAUUUUAAUCCAAACAUUACUAAAAUAAUUACUCUUUCAAAAAGAAAGAAGAUUAUUUUCAAAAAAGUAUGCAUCUACUAAAUUGCUUUUUAAUAAAACAACUUAAGAAAAUAAAAUAAAAUUCAAAGGUAGAGACAAUUCAUUUAUUUCUUUAUGGAAUACAAAUCAAUUUUAUAAUACACCUAAAAAUAUUUUGAAUUACAAAUACAAUUAUAAAACCCAUUUUGGUCCCCGCGCAAUGCUUCAAUCACACAUCAACUUCAUAUUUCAAUCUUUGAUACCUACAACAUUUUAUUAAUGAAAGGGUCAAUUUCCGGUUCCACAUGGGAUCACCUAAACUCAGAAAAAUGUCAUAAAAUAAUAAUAAAAGUACUCAUCAACUAAAAAGGAUUAGAAAUAGAUAAACGAAUAAAGUACACAACAACUAUCUUGUAAGACUCUAUGCAUGAAGUGCAUGAUAUGCAAGACUCAAAUGAUCCGGAAGAAUGAACUCCUCAACGGUUCCUGCAAGGCCCGCCACCCAGUGACAUUAGUCCAAUAAAACUAGACCACUAAUUAAGUGGUCUCUGCAAGACCGUAGCCCAAAGAAAUUAGACCACUAAAUGGUCUCUGCAAGGCCGAAUAGAGCAACAACAGCAGCAAGAGGAACAUGAUAGUGGUAGAUUGCAUAGAAUGAUGGCUUGGAAUGCUAAUAAUGUUAAUGCUAAUGCUGCAGAUGGUGGUAACAGUGGCCAUGGUGCUUAGGUGUGGUAAUGAAAAAACUCAAAUUUGACAGGAAUAGUGAAACACAAACUAUUAAAUUUGUCUUUUGCAGCUGCCUCUCCUUGUUCGUUUUUCAGAAAGAGCCAAUGGAGGAGGGGUAUUUUUGUCAAUUUUCAUGCCAUUUUGUUAAUUUGAUGAUGUGGCAGUGAUUAACUGGAAAUAGUGACGAAAUUUUAAAUGAUUAAACAAUGCAAGGGUAAUUUGCAAGGAUUAGCGAUUACAGAGAUCAAUUUUUAAACGACCCCUAAUUACAGGGACGAAAUACAUAUUUAAGCCUUUAAAAAUUAUAGAACCAUAUAAGUUUCAAAAGUAAUUAACAAUUUACACUUUUUUUUUGGUUAGUACAGUAGUGAAAUUGGUUUAUAUUUGUGUUUCAAACAUCAUCCUCUAUAAUAAAAAAAUAUUGGCAGCGCAUCAAUAAUUUUUUAAUCAGCGCAUCAAAUAUUGUCGUAUUUGAGUCUACAAAAGUGUGUUCAAAUAAUUUUGUUGUUUAUAUCAACGCAUCAAUAUCAGAAAAAUUAUAUGAUUCCAUCUCAUAUUUAUAAAUUUUUUAAAAGUUUAACAGUGGUGGGUUGACGAUUCAAAACAAUUUUGCACAUAUAACUUUUUUUAAUGUGGUGUCUAUUUCAAAAUAGACGGGCUUGCUUGACCACCUACAGCAAAUUAAACACAUGUACACUACUAUAUUAUUUCUUCAUGAGCUGGUUGUAAGCAAAAUAAGCACACGGUCAAUUGUUAUUAUAAUAACUAACGUUAAAAUAGAUACUUACAUGAUAAAAAAAAUAAUUAAGUAAACGGUAAAAUUAAAAAAAAAAUAAUGUUACAUCAAAAUACAAUAUUUUUAUAUGAAGAUAAAAUAUAUUUUUUUUCUCAUAAUGUCCAAUAUUAUUUCAAUUAUUUUUUUAACAAAGAGUUCUACCCAACACAAAGGAGUGCCAAAAUAGAACAAAAAUGGUUUAGCAAUCCGUUACAUUGUAAAAACAAGCAAGCAAAACGAGAAAGAAUAAUUACAUGUCAAUGCCAAAACAUUGUAUGGAAUUAAGUCACUACUGGUUAUGAUGAUCAAAAGUAAAAGUAGUGGUUCUUUCCUUCAACCACAAAAAAGAGAGGAGAUUAAUUUGUCUAAUAGUUGUUAUAACUUUUCUUCCUUGUGAUUAAAAAUUCUAUUUUUCCUUUCUUUCUAAAUAACAUGUUGGAACAAAAUUGGUUUGUACAAUUUCUUUAGAGUUUUGAUGAUAACACAAUAUUGAAGAACAAUUGGACAUGUUAAUAUAUGUUCAAGUGUGCAGGACCAUAUAUUAAAAUUUAAUAAGGUCUGAACAUGUAAAAGAGCAUCAAAAGCAUAAGAGAAGCUAAUAGACUAUGGUAGAAGAUCUCAAGAAAGGUUAAUCAGAAGUCAACACCUUAGAUCAGAAGAAAGAAAGUCAAUCAGAACCUGAAGAUCUACAUUAGACUCUAAAGAAUAGAAGAUCCAGAGGGACCCAAAAUCCACAUCAGAUUUAUCCUCUUAUGUUGGCUUCUUCUGACCAUGUGUAGAAACAAACAAAAAACUUCAAGGACAAAGAAAAUGAACGGAUAAUUCCAGUUUCAACAAAGGAAUUUCAAAUGUCUAAUCAAUGACAUUAUCCAUAUUAGGCAAUGGCCAAACAUCCUUGAUUUGAAGCUUCUCAAUUACUCUUAAUGUGAUGACACUCUUCUCCAACGUCUAACAAAUCAUUGCCUAUCUAAGGAGCUAAAUACUUGAAGAACGAUAAUAAGACUCUGCUCUUGGAUUACUCCUGGAAUGUAGGAGGAAUCAAUAUAAUUGAUUGUGUUUGACCUCUCUCUCUCUCUCUCUCUCUCUCUCUCUCUCUCUCUCUCUCUCUCUCUCUUCGUGUUUGUUUUUAUCUGCAUGUAUCAGACUUUGUGUUUUUUAACUCAUCAGACUCUGACCAGUGCAAAACACUUAGAAAAAGUUUGAAAAAGCCAACACAAUUCAACCUCCCUUCUUGUGUUAUUGUCACCUUUACUUGGUAUCAGAGCAUAGUCUGCGCUCAGCCACUUAAUUGUGCCACAAUUAAAGAUCCAAAGAGAAAAACAUGUCUACUAAUGAGAGUGCUUCUGGUCCUUCUAUUUCAGGUAGAAACCAUAACGCUGCUAUCAACUAUGAUUACAACACCACUAAUGAAAAGUACAACUUUUCUAUAAAACCACCAUCCAUUAAUGGAGAUGCUUGUUAGUUUUCGUGGUGGAAGAGUAAGAUGUACAAUUACAUCAUUGAUGUCGAAGAUAAAUUAUGAGACAUCAAGAAACUUGGUUAAUUAAAUCUAAAGAAUCAGGUUUCAGAAAUAAGAAAAAAGAUAAGAAGAGAUGCUUCAACAGCAAGAAACUUGAUCAUUUCAUUGUUGAUUGUCCAGAGUUACAGAAGGACAAGUCGAAGAAGGAGAGCUCCUAGAAAGAGAG